Molecule: small RNA, 165 nt
Filed under: Rhizobacter sp. Root404
Lineage: Bacteria; Pseudomonadati; Pseudomonadota; Betaproteobacteria; Burkholderiales; Sphaerotilaceae
Also listed under: 1 other name
Description: Manganese Mn2+ riboswitch aptamer (yybP-ykoY)
Rfam family: Manganese Mn2+ riboswitch aptamer (yybP-ykoY)
About the family: This RNA was originally discovered in E. coli during a large scale screen and was named SraF. The family was later found to exist upstream of related families of protein genes in many bacteria, including the the yybP and ykoK genes in B. subtilis.
Source: Rfam by way of RNAcentral
UCACCCGUCAUUGGGGAGUAGCCGCCUCGCAUCGCCACGAUGCAGGGCCUGCGUCAACACACUUGGCCGCCACGGCCAUGGCGCAGGCAGCUGAUCCAGCCUGGCAAGACCUUUGACCGCGCGGACCCGGCACGACCGGCGGGACCGUGUGGUCAUCCGUCUGCU